CACAUUCUCAGGCUUCCUCACUCAUAUGGCUGGCUAAUCGGUGCUGGCCAUUGUCUGCAGGCUCCACUGCGACUUGGAGCUGGGAGCCUUGGUUCUUUCCAUAGGAUUCUCUCUACAGCCUGCUUGGGCUUCUUCAGAACUGGGGGGCUGGGUUCUAAGAGAACUGGGCAGAAGCGCAGGGUAAUUCGGUGCUCUAACCUCAGAAGUCACAGAGCUCCGCUUCAUUAUUUCAGCCAAUCACAGAAAGGUUCAUCCAGACUCAAGGGGAGGGGUCAGGGACCCUAUCACUCUAUUGGAGGAAUGUCUGCUGCUGCUGCUGCUAAGUCACUUCAGUCGUGUCCGACUCUGUGCGACCCCAUAGAUGGCAGCCCACCAGGCUCCCCCAUCCCUGGGAUUCUCCAGGCAAGAACACUGGAAUGGGUUGCCAUUUCCUUCUCCAGUGCAUGAAAGUGAAAAGUGAAAGUGAAGUCGCUCAGUCGUGUCCAGCUCUUCACAACCCCAUGGACUGCAGCCCAUCAGGCUCCUCCAUCCAUGGGAUUUCCCAGGCAAGAGUGCUGGAGUGGGGUGCCGUUGCCUUCUCCUGGAGGAAUGUCUAGUUGUACUGUAAAAAGAGCAGGCGGAUGGGAGAUGUUGUUUUCACCCUCUUGGGAAAAUACAGACUGCCACAGUAGGAAAUGUAAGGGAUGCUAGGUGCAAAAACACACAUGAUUCACCUGCCUCAUCAAGUCCCUUUGAAUUCUUCCAAUUCCCACUGGUGUUUAGAGAGGACCUAGAAUGCACAAGGCGCCAUAAUAGAUGCUUGAUGUAUAAAGAUGAAGAGGACACAGUCCCAGGGGAGCUACGAUGAAGCAGAGAAAGGAAUUCCAACAGCAGAUGCGUGACAAGAUGGAGCUGAUUAAAAGAAGACAAGCAAAGUCUCAGUGCCAGACCACUUCAGAGAUGAAGCAUUCCAGAAAGGCAUGUAAGAACUCCUGUCAGAAACAGGGAGGAUUUCACAGCCCCUCUUGCAUAUUAAUGAACUACAAGGAACCUCAGUGUAGUGGUGCAGAUGCAACAUUUCAGGAGCCGUGCCAGGAUUCCACGAUAAAUACCAGCUCCAGGGGAAAUACAUUUCAUGAUAGAAUUAGGGGAUCAGCCAUCUGAGACGUC
Molecule: long non-coding RNA, 1149 nt
Filed under: Capra hircus (goat)
Lineage: Eukaryota; Metazoa; Chordata; Mammalia; Artiodactyla; Bovidae
Description: lncRNA (ENSCHIG00000007902.1)
Source: RNAcentral